This 329-nucleotide unclassified non-coding RNA is filed under the name plant metagenome. RNAcentral describes it as "partial contains 5.8S ribosomal RNA, internal transcribed spacer 2, and large subunit ribosomal RNA". The stretch from base 1 to 105 matches the Rfam family "5.8S ribosomal RNA", at positions 50 to 154 of the family's 154-position model. The record is from RNAcentral.
GAAAUGCGAUAAGUAAUGUGAAUUGCAGAAUUCCGUGAAUCAUCGAAUCUUUGAACGCACAUUGCGCCCUCUGGUAUUCCGGGGGGCAUGCCUGUCCGAGCGUCAUUGCGAACCCCUCAAGCACGGCUUGUGUGAUGGGCCCUCCCGCGUCUUGGUCGUCAAGACGGGCCCGAAAUGUAGUGGCGGCUUCGCGGUUAUCCGAUCAGCCAGAGCGUAUGGGGACUUUCUCUCUGUCACACGCCCGCGGCGCGGACCGACGCCUGUCGACCUUCAUUCAUCGUUUUCUCGGUUGACCUCGGAUCAGGUAGGGAUACCCGCUGAACUUAAGC